Molecule: transfer RNA, 75 nt
Filed under: Candidatus Zambryskibacteria bacterium CG_4_9_14_3_um_filter_40_16
Lineage: Bacteria; Candidatus Zambryskiibacteriota
Also listed under: 1 other name
Description: tRNA-Thr
Rfam family: tRNA
About the family: Transfer RNA (tRNA) molecules are approximately 80 nucleotides in length. Their secondary structure includes four short double-helical elements and three loops (D, anti-codon, and T loops).
Source: RNAcentral
GCCGCCUUAGCUCAGUGGUAGAGCAACGCUUUUGUAAAGCGAAGGUCCUCGGUUCAAAUCCGAGAGGCGGCUCCA